Molecule: ribosomal RNA, 3582 nt
Filed under: Triticum aestivum (bread wheat)
Lineage: Eukaryota; Viridiplantae; Streptophyta; Magnoliopsida; Poales; Poaceae
Description: partial small subunit ribosomal RNA
Source: RNAcentral
AUGUUUGAUCCUGUUAUGGAUUUGAACCCGCAUAUUUUAUGCUGGAAUGUGAGGGGCCUUAAUUGCCCUGCCAAAAAGAAGGCAGUCCGGGAGUUUGUGACUUCGGUGCAAGUUAACCUAGUGUGUUUGCAAGAAACGAAACUAGAUGUAAUUGAUCCCUUCAUAAUUAUGCAAUGUAUUGGACCGUCCCUUGACGGCUUUGCUUAUCUCCCAGCGCAUGAAACUCGUGGUGGUAUCCUAUUGGCGUGGGAUAAAACGGUGAUGGACGUUGAUAACAUAAAACUUGACGGCAACUCGCUCACGGGCCUGGUGCACAAUAAAGAUGGGGCGGUUUGGUGGAUCACGGUGGUGUAUGGCCCCCAAGGGAAUGAGCUAAAAAUAAAUUUCCUGGAGGAGCUUAGGAGCAGGAGAGCUACUUGCCAGGGACCGUGGAUGGUUCUUGGUGACUUCAACAUGAUCCUACGUGCUUCGGAUAAGAAUAACACUAACCUCAAUAGGACGAUGAUGAGGAAGUUCCGGGAUUUUGUGGACGAGCAUGAACUGAAAGAGCUUUACCUACAUGGGCGCAACUUUACGUGGAGCAAUGAGAGAGAUGCACCGGUGAUGACUAAAAUUGAUAGGGUUCUGGUGUCUGUUGACUGGGAGCUGCAUUUCUCUGAUAGCUUGCUACAAGCUCUAUCAACAAAUGUGUCAGAUCAUGCGCCUUUGCACUUGUCCACAAGUGCACAAUUCUGUCCUAAAAGGAGAUUCCGGUUUGAGAUUUUUCGGACUAAGCUUGAUGGAUUCCUGGAGGCGGUCCAGGAGGCUUGUGUAUGCGAUGACUCGAUCACGGAUCCUUUCAAACGACUGGAUGCACUUCUCAGGAACACGGCCGUGUUUUUGCAAGCCUGGGGACAGCGAAAAGUUGGUAACAUCAAAUUGCAAAUCGCAGUGGCCAACUAUGUGAUACUUCGGCUAGACAGAGUCCAAGAGUUCAGAGCUCUAUCUCCCGAGGAACUGUGGCUUAGACGUAUGCUUAAGUUGGCAGUCCUGGGAUUGGCGUCUCUGGAAAGAACGAUCGCGCGUCAGAGAUCAAGGAUUAGAUGGUUGAAAGAGGGAGAUGCCAAUACAAAACUUUUUCAGAUUGUGGCCAAUGGGCGACGUGCAAAUUUUUUUAUCCUCAAGGUUAAGCAAGGAGAGGAGAUUGCCACAGAGCAGGAGCGCAAGGGGCAGAUCUUUACGGAAGCUUAUGAGGAUCUGCUGGGAGCGUAUAGCGCUAGAGACGAUAGCAUAGACCUAGACUUCCUGAAUAUUGAGGGAUGCGAUCUGCAAGAACUAGAAGACAUUUUCACGGAAGAGGAGGUGUGGAAUACCAUCAGAGAAUUGCCAUCGGAUCGAGCACCGGGACCGGACGGUUUUAUUGGCGCUUUCUAUCAGCGGGCCUGGCACAUCAUCAAGCGGGAUGUUAUGGCAGUUUUGAUGAAGCUGUAUGUUGGUGACGGCCGUGGAUUUGGUAAGUUGAACAGGGCACACAUCGUACUCAUUCCGAAGAAACCGGACGCGGAGGAAGUUGGGGACUUCCGCCCCAUUAGCCUGACGCAUAGUGCGGCGAAGUUGUUUGCUAAGAUGCUCGCUCUACGGGCUAGAAAGAGGAUGAAGGAGGUGGUGGCAGCAAACCAGUCGGCCUUCAUACAAGGGCGGAACUUGCACGACAAUUUUUUGCUGGUGAGGCAAGUGGCGAGAAAGAUCCAGGAAAGAAAAGAACCAGGGGUGUUCCUCAAGCUCGACAUCUCGAGAGCGUUCGACUCCUUAUCUUGGCUUUUCCUCUUUGAGGUCCUGAGACAAAAAGGGUUCGGCGCCAAGUGGAUUGGGUGGAUCUCGAUCCUCCUUAGAACGGCAUCUACGAAGGUGGUGGUCAAUGGUGUACCUGGUAAAAGUGUGAUUCAUGCUUGCCGCCUCAGGCAGGGAGACCCGGUCUCACCCCUGCUGUUUGUGAUUGCCAUGGACGUUCUUACACAUAUCUUCAGGAAGGGUGCAGAAGAGAGAGUUCUAAGCUCAUUUAGGGGAAUAACACCAAUGCAAAGAGUCUCCAUAUAUGCGGAUGAUGUUGCUCUCUUCAUUAGACCAAUCGAAGGGGACCUGAACUUUGUCAGGAGUGCACUUCAGGCGUUUGGAAGAGCCUCGGGACUGUCCGUGAAUUACAGCAAGUCGUCGGCCAUCCUUAUCCGUGGCUCUGAGCAGGACCAGUCCCGUGUUGAGGCGUUGCUGCAAUGCAACAUUGCUGAAUUCCCAUGUAAGUACCUUGGGCUACAACUUGCUAUCCGGCAAUUAACACAUGGGGAAUGGCAGCCGAUCUUGGACAAGGCCAAGAAGCUUGUUCCGGCUUGGCAGAGGGGGCUAAUUCAAAGGCCGGGCCGGCUCGUCCUGGUGAAAUCGGUCAUGGCUGCUAGGCCGGUGCAUCAUCUCAUGGUCAUGGAUGCUCCGAAGUGGGUUUUUGAAGAGCUGGAUAAAUGGAUGCGAGCAUUCUUUUGGACAUCAGAGGAGAAGGUUAAUGGAGGAAACUGCCUUGUCGCUUGGGAUACAAUCUGCACACCUGUGUGCUUUGGAGGGCUCGGCGUCAAGAACCUGGAGUUGCAAGCAUUGGCACUCCGAGUUAGGUGGGAAUGGCUACGGAGAACAGACCCUGACAGGCCGUGGCAGAAGCUACAUAUGGUUGUUGAUAGAGAAGCACGACAAGUAUUUGACAGUCUGGUUAGCAUAACGGUGGGAAACGGAGCCAAAACUCUAUUUUGGAGAGAUAGAUGGCUGCAUGGCUUGGCCAUCGUAGAUAUUGCACCACAGAUCCAUGAUAUGGUGGACACUCGGACACGAAACCGGCGCACGGUUCAGCAAGCCUUGGAGGAUAACAGUUGGGUCCAGGAUGUGGCGGGAGAACUCAGCUUCACAGGACAUAUCCAAUUCCUAAACCUAUGCCACGCCAUCGCUACGAUACAUCGAGAUGAUAGCUCCCUUGAUACGUUUGCGUGGCCGGCGGAUGCUUCGGGACAAUACUCGGCCCGAUCAGUUUACUACAUGCUCUGCCAAGGGAGGGAGAGAGUUCCUUACGCCUCGUGCAUCUGGAGGAGUUGGGCGCCGUUGAAAUGUAAAAUCCAUGUCUGGCUCACUAUCCAGCAUCGGAUCUGGACCUCCGAUCGGCGAGCGCGACAUGGACUACAAGAUCACCCCUCGGCCUGCUUCACGUGCCUGCAAGAGGAGGACAAUGCAGAACACAUACACUUACAAUGCUCUUACGCUAGACAGGUGUGGCACAAGUGCAUCGUCGGGUUGAACUUGGAGGUGGCUCACCCGCUUGGGCAGGAUAGCUUGUUGGAUUGGUGGCUACAAGCUAGAAGAAACUUCAUGCGGGCUGCAAGUAGAGGAUUCAACACGUUCGUAAUCGCAGUAACUUGGUCUCUAUGGAAGCAGAGAAACGCGAGAGUCUUCAACCGGAUAAAUCAACAAAAAACCGUGGAUGAGCUACACAACCACAUCAUGAUUGAGAUCAAAAAAUGGAAGGAAGCCGGACUAGGUGUAGGUGUGUUAGACCGAUUUGUGAGAGAGUAG